This is a non-coding RNA of Paramuricea clavata, 520 nucleotides long. The record is from the annotation of a GenBank genome assembly. NCBI's taxonomy places the organism in Eukaryota, Metazoa, Cnidaria, Anthozoa, Malacalcyonacea, Plexauridae.
GGCUUUAUAAAUACACGUGUUGUCUGUUCAGUUGCGAAAUUUAUGAGCCAAAGUCAUUCAUGCGCAUCGUCUGCGCAUGGGCAGUUCUACAAUAGUCAGAUAUUUCGCAAGUCAGGAAUUUCGCGUCACACCGGAUCACCCGGAUAUUAUUUGGUAUUAUAUGGUAGGAUCUCUAUGGAUUUCACCAAACGGUUUAUAAUAGAACAUUGGGUUUAUAGAACGGACCGCUUUAUAUAAAGUGUUUUAUGAUGAACGACGUUUGUGCUGUAGUUGAAGUAAAUUCUACUUGUGAAGCGGCUUCAGCCAGCCUGGAAAGAAAUGAACCAAAUUAUCAUUGUGAUGAUUGUAAAAUGGCAUUUGGUACCCUAUCUUUGCUAACUGAGCACAAGAAGACUCAUGGACAUGGUGAAGUACAAAGUUCGUUCAAAUGCCAGGAUUGCGAUAAAAGCUUUCGAUCAAACUAUCCAUUGAUGCUUCACCAAAGAGUGCAUUCUGGAGCACGCCCCUUCGAAUGCGAGGU